CCCCCUACGGCCACGCCCCCCCUUACCCGGAAGCGGGUGUCGGGAGCACAGGGCCUCUGGGUGAGUGCAGUCCUGGGCACUUCUCGCGCUCCUCGGCCCCGCCCCACCCCUUCCUUCACACCGGGGCCCGAGUCCCUGCCGACGUCACAGACCCGCUCUCGCGCCGCUGGCCCGGGGCUCCCUGACACUCGCGAAGCCGGGAGCUCCGCUGCCGGGGUCGAGUCGCAUCCGUUUCCGGAUCCGAGGCCAUCCUGGUCCGACCUUCCGGCCUAUGGUCUCUUCACGGGGUCCCGCCCCCUGUCAGGUCCCCACUCGCAACGUGCGCUCUCGCCCUCUGUGCCUCUCGGGGCCGCACGGGACUCCGCGCCCUCCGGCGGCUCCAGGAAUCCGCAGACCCCCGUCUUCUCCAGAAGCGGCCCGGCCCCGCCGCUCGCUCCCCUCGGCGGUCACCGCCUCACACACCUGUCCCAGGGAGAUGUUGGUGUUCAUGGAUUUGUAAAGAAUUGACUUGUCUGCAGAUACUGAGUGUUCCUCCUCUUUGGGUAAGUUGUGGUUUUGUUGCUGAGCCAAUAGAUGGCACAUUUCAUUUUGUAACAGGUUUUGGCACCGUUCUCUACACGAAGUACACAGUUGCCAAGAAAUCCUCGUCUGUCUGUCCCCUCGUGCCUUAACCAGGAUUCUUUUAAAUAUGUGUGUAUAAUUGUAGAUUUGGAUAAAAUGACAACUCUUUGUUCCUAAUUUCCAUUUUACUAAUGAUUUAAGAGACUGAGUAAAGGUUAUUCUUUAUAGACAUGUAUAUAUAGAAUGAAUUUUCCUACUUAUUUUUCUAAUUUAUGGUUUAGUUACAUACACACAGACACUUUGAUAAUGUUGAUGCAAUGAAACCAAAUCAUGGCCUUUGCUUUUUUUCCCUUCGUAAGGUGUCACCUGUUUCAUAGUAUAAAAUAUUACGUUCAUUUAGUCCCAAUAUAUUGUUUAAUAUUGUUUAUUUCAACUAUUUAAUUUGAGCUAUUUUAAAGUUUCAAAUAAUAUAGGUUCAAAUGUAACUUGACUGAUCUCCAG
This 1062-nucleotide long non-coding RNA is filed under the name Bos mutus (wild yak). Its description in RNAcentral is "lncRNA (ENSBMUG00000016188.1)". The record is from RNAcentral. Lineage: Eukaryota; Metazoa; Chordata; Mammalia; Artiodactyla; Bovidae.